RNAcentral lists this ribosomal RNA (492 nucleotides) under uncultured bacterium. RNAcentral describes it as "partial 16S ribosomal RNA". It matches the Rfam family "Bacterial small subunit ribosomal RNA", at positions 29 to 507 of the family's 1533-position model. The record is from RNAcentral.
AGUGAACGCUGGCGGUAGGCCUAACACAUGCAAGUCGAACGGCAGCACAGUAAGAGCUUGCUCUUACGGGUGGCGAGUGGCGGACGGGUGAGGAAUACAUCGGAAUCUACUUUUUCGUGGGGGAUAACGUAGGGAAACUUACGCUAAUACCGCAUACGACCUACGGGUGAAAGCAGGGGAUCUUCGUACCUUGCGCGAUUGAAUGAGCCGAUGUCGGAUUAGCUAGUUGGCGGGGUAAAGGCCCACCAAGGCGACGAUCCGUAGCUGGUCUGAGAGGAUGAGCAGCCACACUGGAACUGAGACACGGUCCAGACUCCUACGGGAGGCAGCAGUGGGGAAUAUUGGACAAUGGGCGCAAGCCUGAUCCAGCCAUACCGCGUGGGUGAAGAAGGCCUUCGGGUUGUAAAGCCCUUUUGUUGGGAAAGAAAAGCAGCAGGUUAAUACCCCGCUGUUCUGACGGUACCCAAAGAAUAAGCACCGGCUAACUUCGUG